Pelobates cultripes (western spadefoot toad) is the source of this 379-nucleotide non-coding RNA. NCBI's taxonomy places the organism in Eukaryota, Metazoa, Chordata, Amphibia, Anura, Pelobatidae. The record is from the annotation of a GenBank genome assembly.
CAAGUUACUGCGUGAUCUCCAAAUUCUAACGUAACCCAAACUGACUCUAUGUUCGCCUCACUAACUUUUAUUAGGCUAGAUUUUAUGCUAUCCUUCACAUACAGGAACACCCCAUCUCCUUUCUUGCCUUCUCUGUCUUUUCUAUAUAAAGAGUACCCUGGUAUUGCUAUAACCCAGUCAUUUUUCUCAUUAUACCAUGUCUCAGUAACAGCCACUAAAAUGGAUCUUAUUCCCUAAAGUGCAAGCAUUUGUAGACAUGACUCUAAGCUUAUCAUUUUUUAACACACUCAUUACAGUUACUUUCUGUUUUUGUUUUGGGGGGUGGGGGGCAAUUGGAUUGAUGUUGUAUCACCCUUUUGUCCCCACUCCUAGUUUAAAU